UACGGGGGGGGUAAGCGUUGUUCGGAAUUACUGGGCGUAAAGGGCUCGUAGGCGGCCAACUAAGUCAUACGUGAAAUCCCUCAGCUUAACUGGGGAACUGCGUGUGAUACUGGAUGGCUUGGAUUUGGGAGAGGGAUGCGGAAUUCCAGGUGUAGCGGUGAAAUGCGUAGAUAUCUGGAGGAACAUCAGUGGCGAAGGCGGCCUUCUGGUCCAGUACUGACACUCAAGUGCGAAAGCGUGGGGAGCAAACAGG
RNAcentral lists this ribosomal RNA (253 nucleotides) under uncultured bacterium. RNAcentral describes it as "partial 16S ribosomal RNA". It matches the Rfam family "Bacterial small subunit ribosomal RNA", at positions 524 to 776 of the family's 1533-position model. The record is from RNAcentral.